Molecule: transfer RNA, 75 nt
Filed under: Oscillospiraceae bacterium
Lineage: Bacteria; Bacillati; Bacillota; Clostridia; Eubacteriales; Oscillospiraceae
Description: tRNA-Gln
Rfam family: tRNA
About the family: Transfer RNA (tRNA) molecules are approximately 80 nucleotides in length.
Source: RNAcentral
AGGGAUGUAGCCAAGCGGUAAAGGCAUCGGACUUUGACUCCGAUAUCGUGUGUUCGAUCCACGCCAUCCCUGCCA